Molecule: ribosomal RNA, 466 nt
Filed under: uncultured bacterium
Lineage: Bacteria
Description: partial 16S ribosomal RNA
Rfam family: Bacterial small subunit ribosomal RNA
Source: RNAcentral
GAUGAACGCUGGCGGCGUGCUUAACACAUGCAAGUCGAACGAUGAAGCCCAGCUUGCUGGGUGGAUUAGUGGCGAACGGGUAAGUAACACGUGAGUAACCUGCCCUUAACUCUGGGAUAAGCCUGGGAAACUGGGUCUAAUACCGGAUAGGAGCGUCCACCGCAUGGUGGGUGUUGGAAAGAUUUAUCGGUUUUGGAUGGACUCGCGGCCUAUCAGCUUGUUGGUGAGGUAAUGGCUCACCAAGGCGACGACGGGUAGCCGGCCUGAGAGGGUGACCGGCGACACUGGGACUGAGACACGGCCCAGACUCCUACGGGAGGCAGCAGUGGGGAAUAUUGCACAAUGGGCGCAAGCCUGAUGCAGCGACGCCGCGUGAGGGAUGACGGCCUUCGGGUUGUAAACCUCUUUCAGUAGGGAAGAAGCGAAAGUGACGGUACCUGCAGAAGAAGCACCGGCUAACUACGUG